CCUGGCGGCCAGGCUUUCCUAGACCCUGGAUGUGUCCGGGGAGGAACGUGGACUUUCUCUCCUUCCACAAGUAUUUAUUUAUUCAGCAGCUACUACGCCCUGGUCGGCCCUGAGGAGGUCCGGACGUCGGGCUCCGGGCUGGACGGUUCCACGAGCCGCAGGCCUGGCAGGGCCCGGACACACAGCAUUUGUGCCCCCAGCCCCUCGGUCUGGGAGGGAGCCUCCCAGUCCCCAGACUCCUCUCCAGCCAGGUCUACAGCACCGUCCCAUUCAUAUUCUUCUGGGUUACUAAGCAGCUGCUUUUAGAGUAAAAAAAAAAAACAAAAAAAAAAACGGAGGAAGACCCGGAGAUUAUUCACCUUUUGGUGUGAAUUCGCUUAAUCCUGCCGCCUAAUUUGUAAAGACUUCCCCACCUUGUGCGGGACGCAGCGCACAGCAAGGGCUUUCAGGGGGUUUGGAACAACGUCCGCCUCCCCUCCUGGGUGCACAGACCGGUCUUCCUCGUUUACACCCAGGAAACUAGGCUUCGCCUGUAACAAAGGGAAGCCCCCGCCUCCAGGUCCUGUGUUCAGCCCCACUCCAUUGAUCAGGAAGUGAUCACACAAGGCAAGCUUCUCCUGUUCCAGGGAAAGCCCAGGAAAUUCUGUGGCCUGUGCUCUCCCCACGCUCCUGCUGCUGCCCUGACCAAGCCUAGUGCUUCCCCAUGUGGCCCCGUGUGCUGUAGUGUGUUCCCUUCUUUUGGAAAAUCCUUGAAGACGGCCGUGGGCAAUCAGCCUCCCUGUUGGAGUCUCCCCUCCCUUCAGUGAUUCACCACACUGGCAGCCCUUCUAGAAGGUGUCUUUAUGGAGAUAUCUCUAAAUGUGCAAAGACCAUCAUUGCCUUUUGCAGGAGGUUGGUUGGUCUACCUAUAUGGGGGGAGGCUGCACUGUUUGUUGUCUUGAGAUUUCUUCCAGAUCUAUGAUUCCAACUUGAUAGGAAUUUUAUUUAAUUCAAUUCACACAACGUUGGCUAGUAAUCUAUGAAUACCAAGAAAUAUAUGUCAUAUAGACUGUUUUGAAAUAUUGUAUAUUUCGUAUGCAACAACCUUUAUUGUAUGAUACAAUCAAACCACAUGAAAUAACAUUUUUUAUUACAAACAAGAGUGAUUACUGUAAAGCAAUCAUACUCCAAUAAAGAUGUUAUUAAAAAAAUGAUUAGAAUUUUUUUAAACACCAGACAAAAAUCUUUAAGUAGUACUAAUUCUAAACAAUUUUGCUUGCUUUUCCAGUUUAUGUGGACUGAUUAUGCCUUUCAAACAUCCAGUAUUCUUUUUUGUUUGUUUCUUUGUUUGUUUUUGGUU
Molecule: non-coding RNA, 1339 nt
Organism: Delphinapterus leucas (beluga whale)
Lineage: Eukaryota; Metazoa; Chordata; Mammalia; Artiodactyla; Monodontidae
Source: RefSeq, a predicted model, not a curated record